This 645-nucleotide ribosomal RNA is filed under the name uncultured bacterium. RNAcentral describes it as "bacterial SSU rRNA". It matches the Rfam family "Bacterial small subunit ribosomal RNA", at positions 232 to 885 of the family's 1533-position model. The record is from RNAcentral.
CGCGGCCUAUCAGCUUGUUGGUGGGGUGAUGGCCUACCAAGGCUGCGACGGGUAGCCGGCCUGAGAGGGUGUCCGGCCACACUGGGACUGAGAUACGGCCCAGACUCCUACGGGAGGCAGCAGUGGGGAAUAUUGCACAAUGGGCGCAAGCCUGAUGCAGCGACGCCGCGUGGGGGAUGACGGCCUUCGGGUUGUAAACCUCUUUCACCAUCGACGAAGCCUUCGGGUGACGGUAGGUGGAGAAGAAGCACCGGCCAACUACGUGCCAGCAGCCGCGGUAAUACGUAGGGUGCGAGCGUUGUCCGGAAUUACUGGGCGUAAAGAGCUCGUAGGUGGUUUGUCGCGUUGUUCGUGAAAUGCCACAGCUUAACUGUGGGCGUGCGGGCGAUACGGGCAGACUGGAGUACUGCAGGGGAGACUGGAAUUCCUGGUGUAGCGGUGGAAUGCGCAGAUAUCAGGAGGAACACCGGUGGCGAAGGCGGGUCUCUGGGCAGUAACUGACGCUGAGGAGCGAAAGCGUGGGGAGCGAACAGGAUUAGAUACCCUGGUAGUCCACGCCGUAAACGGUGGGUACUAGGUGUGGGUUUCCUUCCUUGGGAUCCGUGCCGUAGCUAACGCAUUAAGUACCCCGCCUGGGGAGUACGG